This 485-nucleotide ribosomal RNA is filed under the name Orchesia sp. ORM1. RNAcentral's name for it is "partial 16S ribosomal RNA". It matches the Rfam family "Bacterial large subunit ribosomal RNA", at positions 1856 to 2600 of the family's 2925-position model. The record is from RNAcentral. Lineage: Eukaryota; Metazoa; Arthropoda; Insecta; Coleoptera; Melandryidae.
AGCCUGCUCUAUGAAAUUUUAAAUGGCCGCAGUAUUUUGACUGUGCAAAGGUAGCAUAAUCAUUAGUUUCUUAAUUAGAAGCUGGAAUGAAGGGUUUAAUGAAAAAAAAACUGUCUUAAUUUAAAAAUUAAAACUUUAUUUUUAAGUUAAAAAGCUUAAAUUUAUUAAAAAGACGAGAAGACCCUAUAGAGUUUAAUAAAUUUAAUUUUAUAAAAUUUUAAGAUUUAAAUAAAUUAUAAAUUUAUGGUUUAUUUUAUUGGGGUGAUGAAAAAAUUUGUAAAACUUUUUAAAAUAUAAGUUCAUUAAUAUAUGAAAUUUUGAUCCUAAGUUUUAGAUUAAAAGAAAAAAUUACCUUAGGGAUAACAGCGUAAUUUUUUUUGAAAGUUCUUAUUGAAAAAAAAGAUUGCGACCUCGAUGUUGGAUUAAAAUUUAAUUUUGGUGUAGAAGCUAAAAUAUUAAGUCUGUUCGACUUUUAAAAUUUUACA